GACGAACGCUGGCGGCGUGCUUAACACAUGCAAGUCGAACGAAGAGCGAUGGAAGCUUGCUUCUAUCAAUCUUAGUGGCGAACGGGUGAGUAACGCGUAAUCAACCUGCCCUUCAGAGGGGGACAAAAGUUGGAAACGACUGCUAAUACCGCAUACGAUCUAAUCUCGGCAUCGAGGAUAGAUGAAAGGUGGCCCCUACAUGUAAGCUAUCACUGUAGGAGGGGAUUGCGUCUGAUUAGCUAGUUGGAGGGGUAACGGCCCACCAAGGCGAGGAUCAGUAGCCGGUCUGGGAGGAUGAACGGCCACAUUGGGACUGAGACACGGCCCAGACUCCUACGGGAGGCAGCAGGGGGGAAACUUCCGCAAUGGACGAAAGUCUGACGGAGCAACGCCGCGUGAGUGAUGACGGCCUUCGGGUUGUAAAGCUCUGUUAAUCGGGACGAAAGGCCUUCUUGCGAAUAGUGAGAAGGAUUGACGGUACCGGAAUAGAAAGCCACGGCUAACUACGUG
This 510-nucleotide ribosomal RNA is filed under the name uncultured bacterium. RNAcentral's name for it is "partial 16S ribosomal RNA". It matches the Rfam family "Bacterial small subunit ribosomal RNA", at positions 28 to 507 of the family's 1533-position model. The record is from RNAcentral.